GAUUUCUGGCUUGACAUUUGCCUGGCCCGCUGGAUCUUGUCCAUGCGUGUGCUGGUAAGUGUACUGCCAUCCUUCUAGUAGUGCUUACAAUGGGUUAAACCAUAGUAAGUGUUAUUAGAUCUUUGACUUUGAACAAAUUAGAGUGUUUCAGGCAGGCAUUUGUUGCUAUGAAUACAUGAGCAUGGAAUCAUCAGUUUUUAAGCUUCGGCUUGAUUCUGGUUGGUUGUGCAAGCUGAAGUCUCAUAGAUGGAUAGGAACAGUUGGGGGUGCUAGUAUUGAGCGGCCAGAGGUGAAAUUCUUGGAUUCGCUCAAGACUAACUACAGCGAAAGCAUU
RNAcentral lists this ribosomal RNA (334 nucleotides) under uncultured Glissomonadida. Its description in RNAcentral is "SSU rRNA". It matches the Rfam family "Eukaryotic small subunit ribosomal RNA", at positions 634 to 955 of the family's 1831-position model. The record is from RNAcentral. Lineage: Eukaryota; Cercozoa; Glissomonadida.